UGAGGAAUAUUGGUCAAUGGGCGAGAGCCUGAACCAGCCAAAUCGCGUGAAGGAAGACUGCCUUAUGGGUUGUAAACUUCUUUUAUACAGGAAUAAAAAAGGGGACGUGUCCCUUAUUGCAUGUACUGUAUGAAUAAGCAUCGGCUAACUCCGUGCCAGCAGCCGCGGUAAUACGGAGGAUGCGAGCGUUAUCCGGAUUUAUUGGGUUUAAAGGGUGCGCAGGCGGGCUUUUAAGUCAGCGGUGAAAUCUCGGGGCUUAACUCCGAAACUGCCGUUGAAACUGGGAGUCUUGAGUAUGGAUGAAGUAGGCGGAAUUCGUUGUGUAGCGGUGACAUGCUUAGAUAUAACGAGGAACUCCGAUUGCGUAGGCAGCUUACUAAGCCAUAACUGACGCUCAAGCACGAAAGCGUGGGGAUCAAAACAGGAUUAGAUACCCUGGUAGUCCACGCCGUAAACGAUGAUUACUAGUUGUAUGCGAUAUACCGUAUGUGACUAAGCGAAAGCGAUAAGUAAUCCACCUGGGGAGUACGCCGGCAACGGUGAAACUUAAAGGAAUUGAC
RNAcentral lists this ribosomal RNA (560 nucleotides) under uncultured bacterium. RNAcentral's name for it is "partial 16S ribosomal RNA". It matches the Rfam family "Bacterial small subunit ribosomal RNA", at positions 355 to 914 of the family's 1533-position model. The record is from RNAcentral.